UACGUAGGUGGCAAGCGUUAUCCGGAUUUAUUGGGCGUAAAGGGAACGCAGGCGGUCUUUUAAGUCUGAUGUGAAAGCCUUCGGCUUAACCGGAGUAGUGCAUUGGAAACUGGGAGACUUGAGUGCAGAAGAGGAGAGUGGAACUCCAUGUGUAGCGGUGAAAUGCGUAGAUAUAUGGAAGAACACCAGUGGCGAAAGCGGCUCUCUGGUCUGUAACUGACCCUGAGGUUCGAAAGCGUGGGUAGCAAACAGG
This 253-nucleotide ribosomal RNA is filed under the name uncultured bacterium. RNAcentral describes it as "partial 16S ribosomal RNA". It matches the Rfam family "Bacterial small subunit ribosomal RNA", at positions 524 to 776 of the family's 1533-position model. The record is from RNAcentral.